AAGUCGUAACAAGGUUUCCGUAGGUGAACCUGCGGAAGGAUCAUUAACACGUAUCCAAACGUAAAAAACCCCCCCCGUGAACAUUCAAUCCUGCUCUUGUAACCCGCGUAGUUCGCAAUCUCUGGUAAAUCAUAGCCCGGAAAGUAGUUUUGAUUCAGAGACCUCUGGCUACGUGAGAACAUUGGAACAGUUACAAUCGAGCGGUAGUUUCAUAGGCAUUGUUUCCCCAAGCAGUCAGGCGCGGAAAGUGUCACCGAUUGUGCAAGGAUAGCGCUUCAACGAUUCCUGUAGACCGUACACUCGGGCAGGAGCUAUGCCAAAGGGUCCCCAUGACAUUGGGUAAAAAAACCGAACAACUGUUAACAAUGGAUAUCUUGGUUCUC
This 383-nucleotide unclassified non-coding RNA is filed under the name fungal sp. RNAcentral's name for it is "partial internal transcribed spacer region". The stretch from base 1 to 46 matches the Rfam family "Eukaryotic small subunit ribosomal RNA", at positions 1786 to 1831 of the family's 1831-position model. The record is from RNAcentral. Lineage: Eukaryota; Fungi.